GACCACUUGCCAUGACAAGACAGAAAUGUGGAUAUAGAGGAGCUCUGUGGCUGCACAACAGAAAUAUAAAUUAAUUACACAAGAUGAAAAUCGGGUUUGAUCUCAUUUGAACAGAAAGCCCCAAAGUCAUUCAUAUUUGCUCUUGAUCAGUCAGCCAAAGUUAAUGUUAGUCUCCCUUUUAAAGGUUUGUUUCUCAAAUAGUUAGAUUCAGUGUUUUAAGUAUAUGGUUUUGCUAAACGUGCAAAUGGAUAUUAGAAACAAAUUAAAGUCUGGAUUCUGAAGUCCUCAGUCUCCAAGCAAAUGUCACAGCUGGAAGUCAUGACGAUACCAUAGCCCCUUUUCCAUUCUUCGAGUCCUUUAUCAGAAGGAAAAAAAAUACCAAAGAUCAGCCCAGCAUCCACCUCGUGUAUUCACGUGGGGGCUUUGGCAAGGUGCAGGGGUAUGGAUGGCACUGCUAUAUCAGCUUGAAGCCCAUCAUGUGAAGAUCAAGAGCUAAAUGUAUAUACCACAAUCUAAACAUACUACAAACUGUUUCUACAUGGGCUGCUCCAACAAAAGUAUUCUGAAAACUGUCAAGUCAAGUAAUUCCUGAAUAUUCUAUUUAAUGAAGCUUAGUCAAUAUUUUCUACAACGGAUGUUUACAGUACUUUGAGCUUCCUGAACUUGAGGCAUUUUUUGUCCAUCAUGAAGUUAAACUCUCACAAAAACAAAGCAAAGAAACAAAUAGAAUAAACCACUACAACAACAAGAAAACAAACAAACAAACAAAAAAAGAAACACAACUAAAUGAAAAUGAAGCCGUCAAUAAGAAAGAAGAUCAGAUUUAUUUUCCUGUUUGUUUUAACACACCAGACGGUCCCAGGACUGUCCUUAACCAGAAGAAAAUCAAUUGCCCUCCUUGAUCUGCCUCUCUACACGUCUCCUGUCUGAUUUUUGCAAUGUGAUAAAGUUAGACAUUCUAACCCUUUAUUCACCUUUUGGUGUGGAACAGAAGGAGGAAAUGCACCUGGCCUGGACCCGGUCUCUUCAUGUUCAUGGCCUUGGACUGGUAGAGGGCAUUACAAACCAUGGAGCUGCCCCUGCUUGGUGCUAAUGUCUAACCAGCCCAGGCCCUGUAGUGGCCAGUGUCUCAGAGGCAGUUUAAUUCUCUACUUUGGAUCAAACACCAUAAGUAAAAGUGAAAAAAGAAAAAAAAAAAAGUGAAAAUAUGUGAUGUUCGUUUUGAAAAUGCAGUAUACUGUAAAGUUUUCUGCAGUUGACAUUUCCCCAUAGUACAGGUGGAGAAUGUGAAUGUUAAAAUAUGUAUAUUUUCCAUGGAUCACUAGGCCUGUGUAAAAAACAAAAUCAAUAAGCUUGCCUACAAUAGAAAAGGUUUCAGGUUUGAUUUCUUUUCUUGCACUCCUCUGGCACUGCUGUGGAAGGCAGUAUGCACCUAGCAGUGUGAGCUAACAGGUAACAGAUGAAAUCUCAGAUUUCUUUUAGGGAAGUCUUUCAAAAUUUUACUUCAGAUUAUAAAGAAGAUUCCUCACUGUGAAUACCGAGUAUCAUAAGGAGUACAGCAGAAAAUAUUUUAAUACUUAUUUCUAGUCUGUGAGUAAAAUUACUCUUCUCAAUUAUAUUUCUAGUCAUGUCCAUGGUUCUCUUCUCCUCGUUUCACCUAAUAUUUGUGUUUGUGUCAGAGGAAAAAAGAAGAAAUGUAUGAGUUAAUACAGUCUAAAGGAAAGUAAACUUUUCAGUGUUAGAGAAAAAGAGAGAAAAUAUUUUAGUAAGUCCUAAAGCAACCACUUCUUCUGUUGGUUAGGUGAGUAAACUACCUGUAGAAAUUAUUUAUAAAUUUAGAAUGUUACACCACCUGCAGCUUUUGCUUUCUGCUUCUAGCUGCUCCAGGAUCAAUCAACAUUUAAUGUCUUAUAAGACAAUCAAGAUAGCACUAUGGAAAGUUCUCUUUUUUUUCAUUAGAUCAUAGGAUUUCAUGUGAGUUACAUCUAAUUUCUAACUUUUGAAUUUCAGCGGUUGUCUAUUAAUCAUGUGUAUAUGUAGACAAACUGAGAGAAUAAUUUAAGAGCUAUUGUUGUCACUGUUGAGGGAAGAGAAGACUUCUUUGCCACUGUCUGAGUUGGCUAUCUGUCAUGUAGUAUUUUACUUAUGGAUAUUAAAAGUUUAAUUGGCUCUGUCAGUGUACCUCAUUAUAUAUUGAUGGAUGAAGCAAGUCCUGUCUUUUGUAAGGAGAAAAGGUUAUAAAAUACAUAUUUUUGUGUUCAAAACUAUGAUAAUGUGUGCAUAUUAAAAUUUAUUUUAUAUUACAUUCAUCUUUGCUUUACAAAUGCAUACUUAUUUGCUCUAAAAUAUAUCUUUCUCUCAGAUCUGAAGAGAUCUAAGUUGAGUUCCUAAUUAUUUAAAACAGAAUGGUUUUCUGAGCUUCAGUUGUAACUGUGUCAACAAAUUGAUUUAUGCCCUUCUGGUCAAUAAACUAUAAUAGAAACUA
Long non-coding RNA from Gallus gallus (chicken), 2485 nucleotides. RefSeq lists it as uncharacterized. The record is from RefSeq and is a predicted model, not a curated record. The transcript is spliced from 6 exons. NCBI's taxonomy places the organism in Eukaryota, Metazoa, Chordata, Aves, Galliformes, Phasianidae.